CCUACGGGAGGCAGCAGUGAGGAAUAUUGGUCAAUGGACGAGAGUCUGAUCCAGCCAAGUCGCGUGAAGGAUGACUGCCCUAUGGGUUGUAAGCUUCUUUUAUAUGGGAAUAAAACGUUCCACGUGUGGGAUUUUUUAUUUACCAUAUGAAUAUGGAUCGGCUAACUCCGUGCCAGCAGCCGCGGUAAUACGGAGGAUCCGAGCGUUAUCCGGAGUUAUUGGGUUUAAAGGGCGCGUAGGUGGAUUGAUAAGUCAGUUGUGAAAGGUUGCGGCUCAACCGGAAAAUUGCAGUUGAAACUGGCAGUCUUGAGUACAGUAGAGGUGGGUGGAAGUCGUGGUGUAGCGGUGAAAUGCGUAGAUAUCACGAAGAACACCGAUGGCGAAGGCAGUUCACUGGACUGCAACUGACACUGAGGCUCGAAAGUGUGGGUAUCAAACAGGAUUAGAUACCCGAGUAGUC
This 460-nucleotide ribosomal RNA is filed under the name uncultured bacterium. Its description in RNAcentral is "partial 16S ribosomal RNA". It matches the Rfam family "Bacterial small subunit ribosomal RNA", at positions 338 to 795 of the family's 1533-position model. The record is from RNAcentral.